UUUCUCACAAGGCAGCACAUAUACUAAAAUUGGAACGAUACAGAGAUUAGCAUGGCCCCUGCGCAAGCAUGACAUGCAAAUUCGUGAAGCAUUCCAUAUUUUU
RNAcentral lists this small nuclear RNA (103 nucleotides) under Panthera tigris altaica (Amur tiger). The record is from RNAcentral. Lineage: Eukaryota; Metazoa; Chordata; Mammalia; Carnivora; Felidae.